Molecule: transfer RNA, 73 nt
Filed under: Bos taurus (domestic cattle)
Lineage: Eukaryota; Metazoa; Chordata; Mammalia; Artiodactyla; Bovidae
Also listed under: 1 other name
Rfam family: tRNA
About the family: Transfer RNA (tRNA) molecules are approximately 80 nucleotides in length.
Source: Rfam by way of RNAcentral
UCCCUGGCAGUCCAGUGGUUAAGGCUUUGCACUUCCACUGCAGGGAGCCCAGGUUCAAUCCCUGGUCAGGGAA